CUGCCUCCAGGGCAAGAUUCAUGACAAUAAAGUCUUCCCCGUGGCUCAGUUUGUAGAGCAUGGUGUGUGCAACGCCAGGGUUGUGGGUUCGAUUCCCACGGGGGCCAGUACAAUUAUUAUUUUUUUUAAAUGUAUGAAAUUUAUACAUUCACGACUGUAAGUCGCUCUGGAUAAGAGCGUCUGCUAAAUGACUAAAAUGUAAAUGUAAAAUGUAAUUCAUGACAAUAAAUGCCAACCUGCCUCCCAGUCGUCCCCUCCUUAUCUUUACAAGGCUGCAGAACAUGCAAGCUAGUGAUGUGGGGGUUCUCUCAUAACCCUCAGUCCCCAGGUGGGUAGAUGGCAGGUUGAAUAAAGAGAAGCUAGUGAUGUGGGGGUUCUCUCAUAACCCUCAGUCCCCAGGUGGGUAGAUGGCACGUUGAAUAAAUAGAAGCUUGUGAUGUGGGGGUUCUCUCAUAACCCUCAGUCCCCAGGUGGGUAGAUGGCAGGUUGAAUAAAUAGAAGCUUGUGAUGUGGGGGGGUUCUCUCAUAACCCUCAGUCCCCAGGUGGGUAGAUGGCAGGUUGAAUAAAGAGAAGCUGGUGAUGUGGGGGUUCUCUCAUAACCCUCAGUCCCCAGGUGGGUAGAUGGCAGGUUGAAUAAAGAGAAGCUAGUGAUGUGGGGGUUCUCUCAUAACCCUCAGUCCCCAGGUGGGUAGAUGGCAGGUUGAAUAAAGAGAAGCUAGUGAUGUGGGGGUUCUCUCAUAACCCUCAGUCCCCAGGUGGGUAGAUGGCAG
RNAcentral lists this long non-coding RNA (771 nucleotides) under Salmo salar (Atlantic salmon). RNAcentral describes it as "lncRNA (ENSSSAG00000117053.1)". The stretch from base 144 to 197 matches the Rfam family "UnaL2 LINE 3' element". Lineage: Eukaryota; Metazoa; Chordata; Actinopteri; Salmoniformes; Salmonidae. The record is from RNAcentral.